CCGCUCGCCCGAAAGGAGGUCGGGGCGACACGUGUCCGGCAAGCCCUCCGUUCACACGUGCGGCCGGGCUGUGGGGAGGGGUCCGAGGCUGUCCGGAGCCAUGGAGCGCUUCCUGACAGGCUGCAGGGCCGCUCUUCAGGAUCACUCUCAGAGCGGACAGGCUGUCCACGCGGUGAUGGGCAAUGAAGCGUGCGAUCUCGACUCCACGGUGUCCGCCUUGGUCCUCGCCUACUUUUUGGCAAAGACCUCUCCGGACUCCAGGGCAGCCUUCGUCCCUGUCCUCAAUAUCCCCCGGGCCGACUUCCCGCUGCGCACCGAGACCACCUUCCUCCUCCUGCAGCAGCGUAUCCCCGAGAAAGUCCUCGUUUUCCGGGAUGAGAUCGACCUGGCGGGGCUGCACAAGGCCGGGCUGCUGACCUUGACGCUGGUGGACCACCACAUCCUGCCCAGCAAGGACUCUGCGCUGGAGGCGGUCGUGGUGGAGGUGGUGGACCACCGGCCCCUGGAGUGGGAGAGGCCCCCUCCCUGCAAAGUGACGGUCGAGCUGGUGGGCUCCUGCACCACCCUGGUGACCGAGAGGCUCCUCCAGGCACGGGUGCCAACUUUGGACGGCCAAAUUGCCGCCCUGCUCUACGGAACCAUCUUGCUGGAUUGUGUGAACCUGGCCGUCGAAGCCGGCAAGGUGACCCCCAGAGACGCCUGUUGCAUCUCUCGACUGGAGUCCAUGUUCUCUGAGCUGCAGCCGAGGAACCGUGUCUUCGACGCUCUGCAGAGAGCCAAGUUCGAUGUCUCCGGCCUCACCACCGAGCAGAUGCUACGGAAGGACCUCAAAAGCCUGGUCAGCAAAGCAGCCACCGUGGCCCUCAGCGCCCUGUACAUGAGUCUCCAGGAUUUCUUGCACCGGCCUGGCCUCGAACAGGAUCUGGCCACCUUCUGUCACCAAAAAGGCUUCGGCCUCCUGAUCGCCAUGGCCAUCUCCUUCGGGGACCACAAGAAGCCCUUUCGGGAGCUGGCCGUCUAUAGCCCGCAAGCCGCAUUUCAAGAGGCGGUCUGCCAAGCCUUGGAGGGCUCUACCAACCCGUCCCUCGGCCUCUCCCGGCUGGAGACCCCCUGCCCCGCCAUCCGCGCCUACCAGCAGGGCAACAUCGGCGCCUCCCGCAAGAAACUCCUUCCCAUCGUCCAAGAAUUCCUGCACCAGUGGGGCCGAUCCACUCAGACCAGCCCCGGCAUGCAGCCGGAGAUCUCCAGAUGCGUCCCUCCGGCCAGGAUGGAUCCGCAAGGCGCCGGGAGGCGGGAUCCCAGUGGGGCCAAGGACGCCCCUAAGGCUCCCCGCCUGAGCGAGGAGGCAGCCGAGGAAGACACCCUGAUGCCCCCCACCCCCAUGAACAGCCUGGUGGACGAGUGCCCGCUGCACCAGGGCCUCCCCGGAGUCUCGCCCGAGGCCAUCUUUGAGAGAGUCAACCGCAUAGCCACUGACCGGUUGUUGGACGGCCGCAGCCCAGAAAAGAAGAAGUGAGCGCCAAAACCAGGGCAGCGAGGGGAGGGGAGGGUCGUCGCUGGGGGCUUAAAACGCCAGUUUUUGAAUUAACUGGACAUAAUCUGCAAUUAAUCCCCACUGCAAUGGAUAGAAAGGAAAGGGGA
Molecule: non-coding RNA, 1641 nt
Organism: Notechis scutatus (mainland tiger snake)
Lineage: Eukaryota; Metazoa; Chordata; Lepidosauria; Squamata; Elapidae
Source: RefSeq, a predicted model, not a curated record